AUUGAACGCUGGCGGCAUGCUUUACACAUGCAAGUCGGACGGCAGCACAGAGGAGCUUGCUUCUUGGGUGGCGAGUGGCGAACGGGUGAGUAACGCAUCGGAACGUACCGAGUAAUGGGGGAUAACUGUCCGAAAGGACAGCUAAUACCGCAUACGCCCUGAGGGGGAAAGCGGGGGAUCUUAGGACCUCGCGUUAUUCGAGCGGCCGAUGUCUGAUUAGCUGGUUGGCGGGGUAAAGGCCCACCAAGGCGACGAUCAGUAGCGGGUCUGAGAGGAUGAUCCGCCACACUGGGACUGAGACACGGCCCAGACUCCUACGGGAGGCAGCAGUGGGGAAUUUUGGACAAUGGGCGCAAGCCUGAUCCAGCCAUGCCGCGUGUCUGAAGAAGGCCUUCGGGUUGUAAAGGACUUUUGUCAGGGAAGAAAAGGGGCAUGUUAAUACCGUGCUCUGA
RNAcentral lists this ribosomal RNA (452 nucleotides) under Neisseria bacilliformis. RNAcentral's name for it is "bacterial SSU rRNA". It matches the Rfam family "Bacterial small subunit ribosomal RNA", at positions 30 to 476 of the family's 1533-position model. The record is from RNAcentral. Lineage: Bacteria; Pseudomonadati; Pseudomonadota; Betaproteobacteria; Neisseriales; Neisseriaceae.